UCGAGGGGCAGCAUUUCAGUUUGCUUGCAAACUGGAGAUGGCGACCGGCGCACGGGUGAGUAACACGUAUCGAGGGGCAGCAUUUUAGUUUGCUUGCAAACUAAAGAUGGCGACCGGCGCACGGGUGAGUAACACGUAUCCAACCUGCCGAUAACUCGGGGAUAGCCUUUCGAAAGAAAGAUUAAUAUCCGAUAGUAUAUUAAAACCGCAUGGUUUUACUAUUAAAGAAUUUCGGUUAUCGAUGGGGAUGCGUUCCAUUAGUUUGUUGGCGGGGUAACGGCCCACCAAGACUACGAUGGAUAGGGGUUCUGAGAGGAAGGUCCCCCACAUUGGAACUGAGACACGGUCCAAACNNNNNNGGGAGGCAGCAGUGAGGAAUAUUGGUCAAUGGACGAGAGUCUGAACCAGCCAAGUAGCGUGAAGGAUGACUGCCCUAUGGGUUGUAAACUUCUUUUAUAUGGGAAUAAAGUAUUCCACGUGUGGGAUUUUGUAUGUACCAUAUGAAUAAGGAUCGGCUAACUCCGUGCCAGCAGCCGCGGUAAUACGGAGGAUCCGAGCGUUAUCCGGAUUUAUUGGGUUUAAAGGGAGCGUAGGUGGAUUGUUAAGUCAGUUGUGAAAGUUUGCGGCUCAACCGUAAAAUUGCAGUUGAAACUGGCAGUCUUGAGUACAGUAGAGGUGGGCGGAAUUCGUGGUGUAGCGGUGAAAUGCUUAGAUAUCACGAAGAACUCCGAUUGCGAAGGCAGCUCACUAGACUGCAACUGACACUGAUGCUCGAAAGUGUGGGUAUCAAACAGGAUUAGAUACCCUGGUAGUCCACACAGUAAACGAUGAAUACUCGCUGUUUGCGAUAUACAGUAAGCGGCCAAGCGAAAGCAUUAAGUAUUCCACCUGGGGAGUACGCCGGCAACGGUGAAACUCAAAGGAAUUGACGGGGGCCCGCACAAGCGGAGGAACAUGUGGUUUAAUUCGAUGAUACGCGAGGAACCUUACCCGGGCUUAAAUUGCAUUUGAAUAAUCUGGAAACAGGUUAGCCGCAAGGCAAAUGUGAAGGUGCUGCAUGGUUGUCGUCAGCUCGUGCCGUGAGGUGUCGGCUUAAGUGCCAUAACGAGCGCAACCCUUAUCUUUAGUUACUAACAGGUCAUGCUGAGGACUCUAGAGAGACUGCCGUCGUAAGAUGUGAGGAAGGUGGGGAUGACGUCAAAUCAGCACGGCCCUUACGUCCGGGGCUACACACGUGUUACAAUGGGGGGUACAGAAGGCAGCUACCUGGCGACAGGAUGCUAAUCCCAAAAACCUCUCUCAGUUCGGAUCGAAGUCUGCAACCCGACUUCGUGAAGCUGGAUUCGCUAGUAAUCGCGCAUCAGCCAUGGCGCGGUGAAUACGUUCCCGGGCCUUGUACACACCGCCCGUCAAGCCAUGAAAGCCGGGGGUACCUGAAGUACGUAACCGCAA
Molecule: ribosomal RNA, 1452 nt
Filed under: bacterium NLAE-zl-G237
Lineage: Bacteria
Description: bacterial SSU rRNA
Rfam family: Bacterial small subunit ribosomal RNA
Source: RNAcentral